AGUGAACUGUUUUUUGUUUCACAUUACCAAGUUUGUUGCUCUAUGGUUAAUGUUAGUUUCUUUAGCAGUUUGUUGCUCUAUGGUUAAUGUUAGUUUCUUUAGCAGUUUGUUGCUCUGUGGUUAAUGUUAGUUUCUGUAGCUGUUGUUUUAUGUGUAAUGUUAAGUUUCUUUAGCAGUUCGUUGUUUUUUGGGUAAUUUUAGUUUCUUUAGCAAUGUUUGUUGUUUUGUGUAAUGUUAGUUUCUAUAGCAGUUUGUUGUUUUGUGUAAUGUUAGUUUCUAUAGCAGUUUGUUGUUUUAUGGGUAAUGUUAGUUUCUUUACCAGUUUGUUGUUUUGUGUGUAAUUCUAGUUUCUUUAGCUGUUUGUUGUUUUAUGGGUAAUGUUAGUUUCUUUAGCAGUUUGUUUUAUGGGUAAUGUUAGCGUUAGUGUUGUUUUUGCAUUGUUGCUUUCGCAGCUUGUUGUUUAAUGAGUAAUGCAGUCUGUACAAUCCUUGCUAAGCAGUCUGCAUUGAAACAGCAGUUGAUACUGUAGAACAUUGGUAUUGUCAAGGCUGUGGGCAAUGAUGCUCAAGUCCCCCUCCAUUCUUGGGUGAUGUCUGUCAGAUAGCAUUGUGGCACUGUAAAUAUUAUCUAUAAGGAAACACAAUGGUUUUCAUUAAAAACCUUCAUGAGCUCUA
Molecule: long non-coding RNA, 674 nt
Organism: Anguilla rostrata (American eel)
Lineage: Eukaryota; Metazoa; Chordata; Actinopteri; Anguilliformes; Anguillidae
Exons: 2
Source: RefSeq, a predicted model, not a curated record